UUAAAUUGAAGAGUUUGAUCAUGGCUCAGAUUGAACGCUGGCGGCAGGCCUAACACAUGCAAGUCGAACGGUAACAGGAAGCAGCUUGCUGCUUUGCUGACGAGUGGCGGACG
This 113-nucleotide ribosomal RNA is filed under the name Escherichia coli. RNAcentral describes it as "partial 16S ribosomal RNA". It matches the Rfam family "Bacterial small subunit ribosomal RNA", at positions 1 to 104 of the family's 1533-position model. RNAcentral also lists the same sequence under 19 other names. Lineage: Bacteria; Pseudomonadati; Pseudomonadota; Gammaproteobacteria; Enterobacterales; Enterobacteriaceae. The record is from RNAcentral.